Molecule: ribosomal RNA, 256 nt
Filed under: uncultured bacterium
Lineage: Bacteria
Description: partial 16S ribosomal RNA
Rfam family: Bacterial small subunit ribosomal RNA
Source: RNAcentral
UAAUACGUAGGGUGCAAGCGUUGUUCGGAAUCAUUGGGCGUAAAGCGAGUGUAGGCGGUUAAUUAAGUCGGAUGUGAAAUCCCUGGGCUCAACCUAGGAAGUGCAUUCGAAACUGAUUAGCUAGAAGAUGGUAGAGGAAGGUGGAAUUCCUAGUGUAGAGGUGAAAUUCGUAGAUAUUAGGAGGAAUACCUGAGGCGAAGGCGGCCUUCUGGGCCAUUCUUGACGCUGAGACUCGAAAGCGUGGGUAGCAAACAGG